AAGGCAAACCAGUUUGUCGCUGUUUCGUUUAUUCGAGAGAGAGGAAAGUCUGGGCAGUACAGAGCACCGUACUUCUUAACGAGAAGGAUUCUAAGCAAUUAGAUUACAGAUAGUGCCACAGAAAUAAGUAGCCUUGGAGUAAUAUUCAAGGUCAUAGUGAAAAGGCGAGGUAAGAGCUCACCGCUCCGAUGGUGACAUCGUUGGCUAGGUAAACCUUACGGACUGAAAGACCAUGUAAACCAAGGUUUGAGAACUGCUCGUUCAACUUGGAGGGUAGGUCGAUUGAUCCCGCGGGUGACUUCGGGACUAGAUAAAUGACAAACAGCCAUCUUCGAUGGUUUACAGAACCCGGCUUAUGGUUUGCCUUUGUU
This 371-nucleotide RNase P RNA is filed under the name Brumimicrobium salinarum. Its description in RNAcentral is "Bacterial RNase P class A". It matches the Rfam family "Bacterial RNase P class A". From Rfam's summary of the family: Ribonuclease P (RNase P) is a ubiquitous endoribonuclease, found in archaea, bacteria and eukarya as well as chloroplasts and mitochondria. Its best characterised activity is the generation of mature 5'-ends of tRNAs by cleaving the 5'-leader elements of precursor-tRNAs. The record is from Rfam by way of RNAcentral. Lineage: Bacteria; Pseudomonadati; Bacteroidota; Flavobacteriia; Flavobacteriales; Crocinitomicaceae.